Molecule: ribosomal RNA, 1351 nt
Filed under: human gut metagenome
Description: bacterial LSU rRNA
Rfam family: Bacterial large subunit ribosomal RNA
Source: RNAcentral
UGGAAGCAGCUAUUCAUUCAAAGAGUGCGUAACAGCUCACUGGUCGAGCGGAGCCGCGUGGAUGAUGAUCGGGCAUCAAGACCGUCGCCGAAGCCGAGGACGACGCGCCUUAGCGCGCGCCGUGGUAGGGGAGCAUUCCGGUCGGCGCCGAAGGCGCGGCGCGAGCCGUGCUGGAGCGUCCGGAAAAGAAAAUGUAGGCAUGAGUAACGACAAGAGAUGUGUGAACAUCUCCGCCGAAAACCCAAGGUUUCCGGGGCCACGCUAAACGGCCCCGGGUCAGCCGGGAGCUAAGGGUAAGCCGAACGGUGAUCCCGAUGCCGAUGCGGUCAACAUUCCGCAGCCGGCGCGCCAGGCGCACACGUGACCGAGGAGUGACACUGCCGCGGGGAGACGGAAUUCCCCGUUGAAGGCCGUAGGGAGACCGAAAGCCGACAGUACGGCGAGCCUUCGGGCGAGCCGACAGAGCAGGUAACCAUACUCGCGAGAAAAGCGUGUGCGCGCCAAGCGUCGCGCCGCCCGUACCGUAAACCGACACAGGUGGGUGGGGAGAGAAUCCUGAGGCGCUCGAGUGAAUCACGGCCAAGGAACUAGGCAAAUUGACCCCGUAACUUCGGGAUAAGGGGUCCCGCGGCGACGCGGGCGCAGAGAAAUGGCCCAGGCGACUGUUUACCAAAAACAUAUGGCUAUGCGAAAUCGAUAAGAUGACGAAUAUGGCCUGACACCUGCCCGGUGCCGGAAGGUUAAGAGGGGGGGUCACCGAAAGGGAAGCCCUGAAUUGAAGCCCCGGUAAACGGCGGCCGUAACUAUAACGGUCCUAAGGUAGCGAAAUUCCUUGUCGGGUAAGUUCCGACCUGCACGAAUGGUGUAACGAUCUGGGCGCUGUCUCAGCCGUGAGCUCGGUGAAAUUGUAGUGGCGGUGAAGAUGCCGCCUACCCGCAACGGGACGAAAAGACCCCGUGAACCUUUACUAUAGCUUAGCGCUGAUCUUGGACGUCGGAUGUGUAGCAUAGGUGGGAGGCUUCGAGGCGCGGCCGCCAGGUCGCGAUUAGCCGCCAGGUGAAAUACCACCCUUCCGUCGUCUGGGGUCUAACUUCGCGAGAAGGACACCGCUUGGUGGGUAGUUUGACUGGGGUGGUCGCCUCCAAAAGAGUAACGGAGGCUUCCCAAGGUCCGCUCAGGACGAAUGGCAACCGUCCGCAGAGUGCAGUGGCAGAAGCGGGCUUGACUGGGAGACAAACAGGUCGAGCAGGUACGAAAGUAGGGCAAAGUGAUCCGGCGGUUCCUCAUGGGAGGGCCGUCGCUCAUAGGACAAAAGGUACUCCGGGGAUAACAGGCUGAUCGCUCCCAAGAG